This 491-nucleotide ribosomal RNA is filed under the name uncultured bacterium. RNAcentral's name for it is "partial 16S ribosomal RNA". It matches the Rfam family "Bacterial small subunit ribosomal RNA", at positions 29 to 507 of the family's 1533-position model. The record is from RNAcentral.
AGUGAACGCUGGCGGUAGGCCUAACACAUGCAAGUCGAACGGCAGCACAGUAAGAGCUUGCUCUUACGGGUGGCGAGUGGCGGACGGGUGAGGAAUACAUCGGAAUCUACUUUUUCGUGGGGGAUAACGUAGGGAAACUUACGCUAAUACCGCAUACGACCUACGGGUGAAGGCAGGGGAUCUUCGGACCUUGCGCGAUUGAAUGAGCCGAUGUCGGAUUAGCUAGUUGGCGGGGUAAAGGCCCACCAAGGCGACGAUCCGUAGCUGGUCUGAGAGGAUGAUCAGCCACACUGGAACUGAGACACGUUCCAGACUCCUACGGGAGGCAGCAGUGGGGAAUUUUGGACAAUGGGCGCAAGCCUGAUCCAGCCAUACCGCGUGGGUGAAGAAGGCUUCGGGUUGUAAAGCCCUUUUGUUGGGAAAGAAAAGCAGCAGGUUAAUACCCCGCUGUUCUGACGGUACCCAAAGAAUAAGCACCGGCUAACUUCGUG